CUCUAAACAGGGACCUGUUGUGGUUUAGACAACUAUGGCCUCAUCUCAACACAUACAGAAACCAGCGAGUACAGACAUCCGGCACCAAGAGAUUUCCCGCUGCCUCAUUAAACAGCUUCAAUGAUGACAAUUCACACAGUGCUGUUUUCUGGACAUGGCAGAAUAUAAACUCAAUCCAAUACCCCUUCUCCAGACAGUCUCAGCAGACCUCUCAUACAAUAAGAAUCUCGCGGUGUAGUUGCUCAGGAAUGACAACAAUGCAAAUAUCCCAACACUUCUAAUAUCCCGUGAUAAGACUGGAAUAGUGCAAGACGUGUGAAUGAUAAAAUAGGUUUGGGAAGGUUCAUCUUAGAAUCUGAGUACUUAUCAAAACCCUGGCAUCCGAGCCUCAUGGAGCACAGUCAAGCGGGACUCCUCUUCUGCAAGAGAUCUUCCGGAACAUGGAAAGUUAUGUACAAUUCAAAUUGGUCACAACAAAACCACAAUUGUAGGCCGGUCAUAAGAUUAAAGUGUGGACAAGACCACAAAAUGUGCCCUGCUAAACAGCUGCCAAUUUUAGACUUCUAUAAUACUCAGUGGUAGUAGUUACUUUUACUUUGCUGCCUAAACAUUUUCCAGUAAGUAAUACCCAUACACCCUUCUGAGCUGGUUAGGAUCUCAACAUGUGCUGCUCAAACCUGGAAAUUAAAAAUAAAGA
Long non-coding RNA from Hyla sarda, 697 nucleotides. RefSeq lists it as uncharacterized. The transcript is spliced from 3 exons. The record is from RefSeq and is a predicted model, not a curated record. Lineage: Eukaryota; Metazoa; Chordata; Amphibia; Anura; Hylidae.